GAGGGUAUAGCUCAGUGGGAGAGUGCUUGCUUUGCAUGCACGAGGUUCUGGGUUCAAUCCCCAGUACUUCCA
Molecule: transfer RNA, 72 nt
Filed under: Camelus bactrianus (Bactrian camel)
Lineage: Eukaryota; Metazoa; Chordata; Mammalia; Artiodactyla; Camelidae
Also listed under: 2 other names
Rfam family: tRNA
About the family: Transfer RNA (tRNA) molecules are approximately 80 nucleotides in length. Their secondary structure includes four short double-helical elements and three loops (D, anti-codon, and T loops).
Source: Rfam by way of RNAcentral